This is a long non-coding RNA of Molossus molossus (Pallas's mastiff bat), 322 nucleotides long. RefSeq lists it as uncharacterized. Lineage: Eukaryota; Metazoa; Chordata; Mammalia; Chiroptera; Molossidae. The transcript has 3 exons. The record is from RefSeq and is a predicted model, not a curated record.
GCCAUAGCCAGCAAAGGUGAUUGCAGCGGUGCCGUUUUCUUCAUCUAUCUCCUCAAUCUCCGCUUCAUAACACCUGUAAAGAUAUCAUGGCUGUAAGCAGCAAAUCUUCAUUUUCUCCAUUUCCAGACAGUGCAGCUUCGACUUGCUGGAGUUGAGCUUUGUAGCUUGCCAGCUGUUUUGCUAGAUCCUCUGACAUCUGGAGGGGAAAAAAGGAUCUCUGUCUUAUGAUCAAAGGGAGAGGAGGCGUGUCAACAUGCUUGCCCAUGAAACAGCACACAGGACCUGGGACCUGUAGUUCUGCCUCUCUAGCUGUGAGACCUGC